RNAcentral lists this unclassified non-coding RNA (241 nucleotides) under uncultured fungus. Its description in RNAcentral is "sequence contains ITS2". The stretch from base 1 to 52 matches the Rfam family "5.8S ribosomal RNA", at positions 103 to 154 of the family's 154-position model. The record is from RNAcentral. Lineage: Eukaryota; Fungi.
AACGCACAUUGCGCCCUCUGGUAUUCCGGGGGGCAUGCCUGUUCGAGCGUCAUUACAACCCUCAAGCUCUGCUUGGUAUUGGGCGACACCCUCUGGGGUGCGCCUCAAAAUCAGUGGCGGCGCCACUCGGCUUCAAGCGUAGUAAUUCUUCUCGCUCUGGAGGACCGGGUGUGUUCUUGCCAACAACCCCCAAUUUUUCUAGGUUGACCUCGGAUCAGGUAGGGAUACCCGCUGAACUUAA